Molecule: ribosomal RNA, 1524 nt
Filed under: uncultured Bacillus sp.
Lineage: Bacteria; Bacillati; Bacillota; Bacilli; Caryophanales; Bacillaceae
Description: bacterial SSU rRNA
Rfam family: Bacterial small subunit ribosomal RNA
Source: RNAcentral
UAGAGUUUUGAACCUGGCUCAGGACGAACGCUGGCGGCGUGCCUAAUACAUGCAAGUCGAGCGGACAGAAGGGAGCUUGCUCCCGGAUGUUAGCGGCGGACGGGUGAGUAACACGUGGGUAACCUGCCUGUAAGACUGGGAUAACUCCGGGAAACCGGAGCUAAUACCGGAUAGUUCCUUGAACCGCAUGGUUCAAGGAUGAAAGACGGUUUCGGCUGUCACUUACAGAUGGACCCGCGGCGCAUUAGCUAGUUGGUGGGGUAAUGGCUCACCAAGGCGACGAUGCGUAGCCGACCUGAGAGGGUGAUCGGCCACACUGGGACUGAGACACGGCCCAGACUCCUACGGGAGGCAGCAGUAGGGAAUCUUCCGCAAUGGACGAAAGUCUGACGGAGCAACGCCGCGUGAGUGAUGAAGGUUUUCGGAUCGUAAAGCUCUGUUGUUAGGGAAGAACAAGUGCGAGAGUAACUGCUCGCACCUUGACGGUACCUAACCAGAAAGCCACGGCUAACUACGUGCCAGCAGCCGCGGUAAUACGUAGGUGGCAAGCGUUGUCCGGAAUUAUUGGGCGUAAAGGGCUCGCAGGCGGUUUCUUAAGUCUGAUGUGAAAGCCCCCGGCUCAACCGGGGAGGGUCAUUGGAAACUGGGAAACUUGAGUGCAGAAGAGGAGAGUGGAAUUCCACGUGUAGCGGUGAAAUGCGAUAGAGAUGUGGAGGAACACCAGUGGCGAAGGCGACUCUCUGGUCUGUAACUGACGCUGAGGAGCGAAAGCGUGGGGAGCGAACAGGAUUAGAUACCCUGGUAGUCCACGCCGUAAACGAUGAGUGCUAAGUGUUAGGGGGUUUCCGCCCCUUAGUGCUGCAGCUAACGCAUUAAGCACUCCGCCUGGGGAGUACGGUCGCAAGACUGAAACUCAAAGGAAUUGACGGGGGCCCGCACAAGCGGUGGAGCAUGUGGUUUAAUUCGAAGCAACGCGAAGAACCUUACCAGGUCUUGACAUCCUCUGACAACCCUAGAGAUAGGGCUUUCCCUUCGGGGACAGAGUGACAGGUGGUGCAUGGUUGUCGUCAGCUCGUGUCGUGAGAUGUUGGGUUAAGUCCCGCAACGAGCGCAACCCUUGAUCUUAGUUGCCAGCAUUUAGUUGGGCACUCUAAGGUGACUGCCGGUGACAAACCGGAGGAAGGUGGGGAUGACGUCAAAUCAUCAUGCCCCUUAUGACCUGGGCUACACACGUGCUACAAUGGACAGAACAAAGGGCUGCGAGACCGCAAGGUUUAGCCAAUCCCAUAAAUCUGUUCUCAGUUCGGAUCGCAGUCUGCAACUCGACUGCGUGAAGCUGGAAUCGCUAGUAAUCGCGGAUCACAUGCCCGGGGGGAAAUCCUUUCCCGGGCCUUGUACACACCGCCCGUCACACCACGAGAGUUUGCAACACCCGAAGUCGGUGAGGUAACCUUUAUGGAGCCAGCCGCCGAAGGUGGGGCAGAUGAUUGGGGGUGAAGUCGUAACAAGGUAGCCGUAUCGGAA